RNAcentral lists this unclassified non-coding RNA (21 nucleotides) under Mus musculus (house mouse). Its description in RNAcentral is "oocyte_clustered_small_RNA11892". Lineage: Eukaryota; Metazoa; Chordata; Mammalia; Rodentia; Muridae. The record is from RNAcentral.
AGUACUCCGCCGCCCGCUCUG